Molecule: long non-coding RNA, 2214 nt
Organism: Urocitellus parryii (Arctic ground squirrel)
Lineage: Eukaryota; Metazoa; Chordata; Mammalia; Rodentia; Sciuridae
Source: Ensembl
GUUCUCAUAAUAACUCAGACUCAGAAAUGUUCCAAGCGGAGGGCCAGGAAGCAGCAGAGCCGGAUCAAAUGCAGUUCAUCUGAGGGAAAGCCUGGGAUCCAAGUCAUGGCAUUAUUCACUCCAAAAGGGCCGGGGCUCUGAUGAGGAAGGCAGUUGUUACAGUUCCAGGCUUUUAAUAGUCAAUUAUCAGCUUAGCAUCUUUUUUUAACUGUGCUUCUGACACAGAUUCACACCUGUGACCGGUGUGGACCCUGCCCAGCAGCCUCCACCCACGGUGGGUUUUAGACAUUGAAUCAGACGAAGCCCAAAUUAACUGGGUAUGUGCAGUACUGCAACAAACUACCUCCGGCUCUGCUUUGARAAAGCAUUGAUUAUUGAUCAAACCUAAGAUGAUUGAUCUUUAUGGCUAAUGUUCAUGUAGUAUAUAUUAUAAAUGAGGAUAACUAAAUGCACCGAAUUUAGAAGAUAGCAUUAUAGCUUCAUUUUAAGUGGCAAGAUCUUAUGACUUCUAAGUUACACUAUGAUGAGAAAUAGUAGCAAAAAAAARAAGAAGAAGAAGAAGUCCAAGCACAUCCUGGGCAUUGGCACAUCACUUCAUUGAACCUCUUGACCUCCCUAGGAAGGGAUGGUGACAGAUACUCCAGAAGUCAAUCAGCAGGAAAGAAGAUGUGAAAAAAAAUUAAAUAAAUAAAUAAAUAAUCAGUUCUCUUAAGUUGGAAACAGAGGCAGACUCAGAGCACCCACACAGGCCCUGGCCGGGCCCCAAGCAGCCUGCUUCCCAUCCUGAGAUCUGCAGGAGAGGGGGCGCUCCACCUGCUGGGGAUGGCACUGCCCUGGAACUGUAAGGGACAGUGCCACCGUCAAGGUCAGGCUGGAGGAGAAUGCCAGCUGACACCACAUCAGUCUAGUGAUCGAAGUAACGUCACCCAUGGGGAGGCUUGUCAACAUCACGUCCCCUGACACAGCCCACAGACAAGGCCACAUCACUCCAGUGGGACUCUUACACAAUGCACAGCCUCUGUCUCAUCAGGAGAAAACAUCAAACCAACUCAAAAUGAGCUGUAUCCAAGGCAAGGCAAGACUGAGAAACUGUGAGAGAUCAGAGGACUCCGAGGAGACCUGGCAACGGAUGGGAAGCAGCAUUCUUCUGGGACCUGGGAACACAGAGCUUUCUUCUGGAAACUUAGAAAGGUCCUCCACAGACAGGGCUAAGAAACUUGACCCAGCAGGAAGGAGAGGCAUUUCCGGGGGAUGUUGCAAGGAUUCGAGAAUGAACAUUUGGAAAGAACUCUUUGAACUCCUUCAUAAAUAAGUCUCCCAGCUGGAAACGCUGAUGCCUUGUCGAGCCACCUCCCUAUCCUCCGCCCGCAGCCCCAGCUUCGUGGUACUCUGCUGCAGUCUGGGAAGAUGGCUCAUCACUCUUGCUUCUUGUGAAAGCAAAUGCAUUUGAAAAGAGGAUUCUGAACAGAGCUGAGACCCGAAGAAGAGUCCUGAACCUGGGGCUUCAGACACUGUUCCUGUUAGACACUGGCACCCAGAGGAACCUUCCUCUGCCCCCGAGAUCACUCUGUGGGAAAACCCACCUCCUCUGUCCUUGCCUAAAACCCAUCUCCUCAAAGGCCUGGGCAUUCAGUUGUGCCUGAGAACCAGGCGGUGUGGACAGGACUGCACGCCCUAGUGGGAGCUGCAGAACAUCACCCUUCAUUGAUCUGUUCUCUCUCCACCUGCUUAAUAGGCAUUAAAAGCCACGCUCUGAAGGGCUGCCUCCAGCAGUUUUCAGACGCAUUGACAUAAUGGACUUGUCUCCACAGGACCAACCCCUGGGGACUCAGGGCAGGMGAACCAUUUAUAACACUGUCACGUUGCCCGAGAGGCCGGUGGUGCUCUGGAAAGGGCUGUUGUUGGCGCUGAUGAGCGCUUGGAGUUCAAAUCCAGACUCCACUCUCUACCUGGCUGGAUGACCCUGGGCAGAUUACUGACCCUGCCUGUGCUUCCAGCCCUCUGUCUGCAGAUCGAGGUGGACAAUCCUUGUGCACUGAUUGUGAUUCUUGAUAAUACACUAUUUUAUCGUGAGUCUUGGUAACAUGAGAUAAUAUAGGCAUAUUCACAAAAGAAAAAGGUCAAGGACAAUAUUAACRUUGCUUACUGUGCAGCAGGCACUGUGGUCAGUGCUCAACAUACGUAAGUUAUUAUCAUCAUUCUUCUUAUUAUUAU